UGGUAUAUGAUAGAGGUUACAUUUGUAUUGUGAAAUGUGCCAUAUGAUUUUUUCAUUAUUGAUGUAUUUUUUAAUAAAUCACGAUUAUAACAGCAUACAAAUGUUGUCAGUUAGUAACAAUCGUUCGUCGCUCUGGAAACAACAACUUCGGUCAUUUCCGGCGGUGACGUCAUGAGUAGAACACAGCUGAGCAGAACACAGCUGAGUCACCAUUGUUUAAAUGCCUUGAAGCGGCAAAUAUUAAAACAAAGGAUGCACAACAACAAAACGCGAAGAAUAAUCGGCAAGCGAUGUGUGGUAUGGGGAUGUGGGGCCGUCUCCAAAUCUGGCUAUGGGAUGUUUUUGUGGCCAAAAAAUUGUCAAAUGUCGCGUAUAUGGACCAAACAAGUGCGUCGUACGAGGGCGGACUUUGCUGGACCAGGUAACCCGGGGUCGAUGAAACCUACAAUUUGUGGGCAGCACUUUGAAAGAUCGUGUUUCGACCAGUCCACAAUGCUCGCUAAGGAAAUUGGAUUAAAAAAUAAUUUCAAACUGAACAAAGAUGCUGUUCCAACAAUACUGCCAAGACUCCAAAUGCCAGCACAAGCCACCACGCCGAUUCCUACAUGUCCCCCGAUGCAGAGUCCUCCACUAAAGAGACGGCGAAAUGCAUUCUCCAAAAGGGAGAGAGCGAAGGUAUUGGAAACUUUGUUAAAUGAAGCCACUGACAGAACUGAGGAUAGCAACAAUCUAUUGGACAUCCACACUGGGGAGGAAACUGUGUCUACACCAUUCUUUCCUUGCAGAUUCUUCAGUCUCAUCAGCCUCAUCAGUCCCAGUCAACGUCUUCAGCCUCCAGCACACUUUCCCUGUACAAGGCUCAUUUCCCAUGAUCACAACACCUUAUAUUAUCCUGUCUUUAACAAAAUGUAAAGUCCUUCUACUGCACCUUUUGAAGACUCCAAAACAGGCAUUUGUACUGUAUGUGUUUGGAGAAAUUAUACAACAAAUGGCCCAGAUUUGUACUAUAGAAAAUCGA
Molecule: long non-coding RNA, 1018 nt
Organism: Gymnodraco acuticeps
Lineage: Eukaryota; Metazoa; Chordata; Actinopteri; Perciformes; Bathydraconidae
Exons: 3
Source: RefSeq, a predicted model, not a curated record